ACGCUCGACACCUACGGGGGGCAGCAGUAGGGAAUCUUCCACAAUGGGCGCAAGCCUGAUGGAGCAACACCGCGUGAGUGAAGAAGGGUUUCGGCUCGUAAAGCUCUGUUGUUGGAGAAGAACGUGCGUGAGAGUAACUGUUCACGCAGUGACGGUAUCCAACCAGAAAGUCACGGCUAACUACGUGCAGCAGCCGCGGUAAUCUGAGCGGGCUGGCAAGGC
This 222-nucleotide ribosomal RNA is filed under the name uncultured bacterium. RNAcentral's name for it is "partial 16S ribosomal RNA". It matches the Rfam family "Bacterial small subunit ribosomal RNA", at positions 328 to 539 of the family's 1533-position model. The record is from RNAcentral.